UAACACCUGCCGCUCCAGAUUUUGCUCUGAAAAGACAAGUGAUGUUGAUAUAUUUUCUGUCUACAAGGGUCACAGGCCUGGCGAUUGUUUUCCCUCUCUAAUGCAGCCAGCAUAGUGCGCUCCUUUGGACCACAGUGCUUCCAGCUCUUUGUAUCACGCCGGUAAAUACAUCAGUGUUACUAAAUUAAAUCCAGCCCAGUAGGACCAAAGACAAAGGAUCAAGCAGCAAAAAGCAAUUUAAAGGAUACAGAUUAAGAAGCAAUUAAGGACAAAUGAAUUCUCGGCAUAAGAGAAGCAGAACGUGAAGACUUUUAGAAAGAAAUGCAGGGUAUUAGGUCCUUGGGGAAAGGGAAGGAAGUCCCAAACAUCAACCCAGAAACGGUGGAUAAAUUUCACUCCAUUGAAAUAAAUAACAAUGCUAUA
This is a long non-coding RNA of Miniopterus natalensis, 423 nucleotides long. RefSeq lists it as uncharacterized. Lineage: Eukaryota; Metazoa; Chordata; Mammalia; Chiroptera; Miniopteridae. The record is from RefSeq and is a predicted model, not a curated record.